UACGGAGGAUGCAAGCGUUAUCCGGAAUUAUUGGGCGUAAAGCGUCCGCAGGUGGCACUUCAAGUCUGUCGUCAAAGACCGGGGCUUAACCCUGGAAAGGCGAUGGAAACUGAAAGGCUAGAGAGAGGUAGGGGUAGAGGGAAUUCCCAGUGUAGCGGUGAAAUGCGUAGAGAUUGGGAAGAACACCGGUGGCGAAAGCGCUCUGCUGGGCCGCAACUGACACUAAUGGACGAAAGCUAGGGGAGCGAAUGGG
RNAcentral lists this ribosomal RNA (253 nucleotides) under uncultured bacterium. Its description in RNAcentral is "partial 16S ribosomal RNA". It matches the Rfam family "Bacterial small subunit ribosomal RNA", at positions 524 to 776 of the family's 1533-position model. The record is from RNAcentral.